AUGAGUUUCCUUGGUAGGAUACAUGGAGGUGACCCCAGGAUACUGCCAUAUGUGAAGAGGGAUGUUGUGAAUGAACGUGCCAAGCUUCAGGAAGCGAUAACACAACAAGACAUGGAUAUGACAGUGAAGUACUUUGAGAGGAGGAAGGCCGAGAAUCCAGAGUUUUUCUUUGCGAAGCAAAAAGAUCCUGCCACGAACUUUGUGACUGCAUUGUUUUGGGUUGAUGGGAGGGCAAGGGCGUUGUACCCGAAAUAUAAAGAUUGCGUGUUCUUUGACAUAACUUUCUGCACCAACAGAUACAACAUGCCCUUUGGUCCUAUAGUUGGUAUCAACAACCACCUCCAAACCAUUUCACUCGGAUGUGCCUUGUUGCCGGAUGAGAAUAUUGAAACGUUCAAGUGGGUCUUUGAGCAAUGGAUGGUUGCAAUGGACAAUGACCAUCCAAAGAACAUAAUGACUGACCAGGACCAAGCAAUGGCAACAACUAUAGAGUAG
RNAcentral lists this ribosomal RNA (495 nucleotides) under Triticum aestivum (bread wheat). RNAcentral describes it as "partial small subunit ribosomal RNA". Lineage: Eukaryota; Viridiplantae; Streptophyta; Magnoliopsida; Poales; Poaceae. The record is from RNAcentral.